CCGUAGUGGCGGACGGGUGAGUAACGCGUGGGUAACCCGCCUCAUACAGGGGGAUAACAGUUGGAAACGGCUGCUAAUACCGCAUAAGCGCACAGUACCGCAUGGUACCGUGUGAAAAACUCCGGUGGUAUGAGAUGGACCCGCGUCUGAUUAGCUAGUUGGUGGGGUAACGGCCUACCAAGGCGACGAUCAGUAGCCGACCUGAGAGGGUGACCGGCCACAUUGGGACUGAGACACGGCCCAA
Molecule: ribosomal RNA, 244 nt
Filed under: uncultured bacterium
Lineage: Bacteria
Description: partial 16S ribosomal RNA
Rfam family: Bacterial small subunit ribosomal RNA
Source: RNAcentral